AAUAUAUUUCUUUAGUUUUCAUUUGCGACUGCUUUAUAUAAUUAUUAUUGCAUGUCAAAGUCACUCAAUCGUCUGUAUAAACACCAGGUGUCUGGGAAUUCAGAAUAAACAUGAAAUAUGGUACCUUUCAUACAAAAGCUUAUAUAAAAUAUGGCAUUUUAGAUAUGCUUAUGUUUUACAGUAGCACAAUUUAAUACUAUCAGUAAUUACAUAUUUUUACAUAAACUGUUAUCUAUUUUAUUUGUCCAUAUUCCCUAAUUCCCAUAUUCCUCUGUUUCCAAUUGUAUUAACCAGUCUUUUUAUUUAACCCUUCCUCGCAGAGAAAAUAUUCAUACUCCCUAAUCACAGGUUUGAUCCUAUGCAUACCUGUAAUUGGUGUGGGGCCACAUUCAAGUACCUACAGUUAUGCCCCCUGUGCUCCUUCGUGACCUUGUACAUUUGAAUGAACUAGAGUAACAAGAUAGCCAUCAUGUCCUUGAACUCUGCCUCCACGAUAUAUAACGUAUAUACACUAGUAUAAGCCGACCCGAAUAUAAGCCGAGGCACCUAAUUUUACCACAAAAAAACUGGGAAAACGUAUUGACUCGACUAUAAGCUUAGGGUGGAAAAUGCAGCAGCUACUACAAGUUACAUUAAAGGACCACUAUAGUGCCAGGAAAACAUACUCAUUUUCCUGGCACUAUAGUGCCCUGAGGGUGCCCCCACCCUCAAGGUCCCCCUCCCGCCCGGCUCUGGAAGGGGGAAAGGGGUUAAAACUUACCUUUUUCCAGCGCUGGG
Molecule: non-coding RNA, 777 nt
Organism: Pelobates cultripes (western spadefoot toad)
Lineage: Eukaryota; Metazoa; Chordata; Amphibia; Anura; Pelobatidae
Source: the annotation of a GenBank genome assembly